Molecule: long non-coding RNA, 293 nt
Organism: Lynx canadensis (Canada lynx)
Lineage: Eukaryota; Metazoa; Chordata; Mammalia; Carnivora; Felidae
Exons: 3
Source: RefSeq, a predicted model, not a curated record
GUAGGCAGCGGGCAGGGCCCCCGCCGAGGUCCGGGGGCGAGCCGAGCGCGGGCCGUCGGCGGAAGUGAGAGCCGGAAGUGCCUUCGGCGUGCGCGGAGGCUGGCGGCUGGCGGCGCUGCCCGCCUCUGACGGGGGCCCGCGGCCGAGAAGUGAAGGGUGUAUUGCAUGCGAAGCACCGCCUGUGUGGGCAGAUGAGACCUCCUGUGUGUGGGGACCCCAGCACAGCCCUUGCCUGUGUCUGCAGUGUGACCUCAGAGACAGAGCAUGAGCGGGGAAGGAGCAGAGAGAGGGAG